Molecule: ribosomal RNA, 253 nt
Filed under: uncultured bacterium
Lineage: Bacteria
Description: partial 16S ribosomal RNA
Rfam family: Bacterial small subunit ribosomal RNA
Source: RNAcentral
UACGAGGGGAGCUAGCGUUGUUCGGAAUUACUGGGCGUAAAGGGCGCGUAGGCGGUACCAUAAGUCAGAUGUGAAAGCCCCGGGCUUAACCUGGGAGGUGCAUUUGAUACUGUGGAACUAGAGAUCGAGAGAGGAAAGUGGAAUUACGAGUGUAGAGGUGAAAUUCGUAGAUAUUCGUAAGAACACCAGUGGCGAAGGCGACUUUCUGGCUCGAUACUGACGCUAAGGCGCGAAAGCGUGGGGAGCAAACAGG